Molecule: long non-coding RNA, 1165 nt
Organism: Lynx canadensis (Canada lynx)
Lineage: Eukaryota; Metazoa; Chordata; Mammalia; Carnivora; Felidae
Exons: 4
Source: RefSeq, a predicted model, not a curated record
AUCAUCCUCCAUGCUAAUAAGGCAAAUGCGAGGAUAUCUUGCUAUUAAGUGAGUCCAGUGAACAAGGAACUUUAAGAACAACAGAAAUCAGUAAUUGGACUAACCAGGAAAAGGGGAGCUCUUUGAAGCUCCUAUCCAAAACAACUGAAAUAAAUAAUGAAGGCUGAAGAAGAAUAUUCAAAAUAAUGGGUAAUCACUAAACACUUCCCAAUUGGGAGGCCAAGCAAGAAAUAAGUCAGAAUAAGAUAACCAUGACUAGGACCAAACAACGACGACGACAAGAACAACAACAACAACAACAUAGAGGCACAAACACAAAACGGAACAGUGCACAUGGUAGGUGAUAUAAAUGUGCCAAAUAAAUGAAGAAAACAAUAAGCUGGAAAAAUCAAGUGUCAAGACAGAAGACUCCUUCUCUCUAAACUCUUCCAAGCUGCUGAAACAAACGUCUACGUUGUUUUUUUUAAGGUGGCUGCACCAAAUCCUAACAUCUCUACCUCACACUUCCUUCUCCUCCCUUCAGUUAAAGGAUGAUGGAAUCAAGCCAAGUGAGCCCAAACCCUGGAUCCAACAACUAUCAAGUAUGUGACUCUGGCUUGUGCUCAACUCUGUACCAGCAGAGAAUCCAGCGCUCAAAAUACUGCCACAUGGACCCACUUGGAAUACCCAAAUGCUGCCGCUGGGGUCUCACCCAUCCAUGACUUACAGAAACUGUCUGUUCUCUUUGUAGAACAAAGACCCUUUGUUCUCCUUGUUCUUUACACUUUACAUAUAAUGGGUCAUCUAAUUCUCAUGACAAUCUCACAAGGCAAAACCCAUUAUUAUCCUCAUCUUAUACAUGAGAAACAAAGGCCCAGAGAGGUUAAAGGUCUUAACCAAGGCCACACAGCUAGUAAGUGGCAGGGCCAGGAUAUGAACUCCAGCAAUCUGACUCCAGAGUCCACACUCGGCAAUCACUCUGGCCUCCUAGGAUUCCCCAAAGCCUCCUGUACCUAAUUCUAUAAUGGUACUUACUCCAAAGCAUUAAUAUCAUUGUUCUGCCUUCUACAAAACUCUUACCCUAACAACUAAGCAAAAGGCCUAACACAAAGAUUGCAGUGGGGCACCUGGGUGGCUCAGAUAAACAUCUGACUCUUGGUUUCAGCUCAGGUCACGAUUUCACGGU